Hyaena hyaena (striped hyena) is the source of this 693-nucleotide long non-coding RNA. RefSeq lists it as uncharacterized. NCBI's taxonomy places the organism in Eukaryota, Metazoa, Chordata, Mammalia, Carnivora, Hyaenidae. The transcript is spliced from 5 exons. The record is from RefSeq and is a predicted model, not a curated record.
UACCGGAUAACCUUCCUUCAUUACACAUAAAUUCAACGUGUAUAUUUAUACAAUGGACCAAAUGGGCCAGUAGACCAAAACAGUCAAACAACAUUCAAUGCUUAAGAUAUCAUGUGGAACACAUAAAUGAUAUUCUACCGGUUGUUCACUCGCUGAAAGCUAAAUAUUACAGGAGUUGAUUCCACAGCCCUGGAAUUGAGAAAAGCCAGGAAAUGACACUGAAAAGAUAAAUGAAACUAUGAGGCAUACUCUCAAAUAUUAUCCAUCACCAAAUGCGUGAGACUUUCUGAAGACCUCAAUUACAACUUUCCAGAGCGCCUAAAAGUCCAGUGACCCCAACCGGGAGCCAGAGUGAUCCUAGACCAUACCGGAGAACCAUACCAGAGAACACCAGGAGAUGCAGACCUCGCCCACCUUUUCUAGGCGAAAAGAAACCACACUGCUAAAGCUGUAAGAGGGGCUCCUUUUCCCCUUUGAUCAGCGCCUCUCGGCAUGUGAAAUCUACCUGCAUUUAGGGCCAAGGCUUCGGUUCAAAAUAAGGGCUAUUUCAGAUGUAUCGCACCCGCCUCUACCCUCCCACAUCUCCCCAUGCUUCCUCCGACUCCUGGGAGAAAAUGGAAGCCAUCAGAGGGACACUUGCUGUUGCUAACCUACCACAUCGACACCCACCCAUCUCCCCACAAGCCCUGUAAG